GGACAGUGGCGGACGGGUGAGUAACGCGUGAGGAACCUGCCUUUUCAGAGGGGGACAACAGUUGGAAACGACUGCUAAUACCGCAUAAUGCAUUUGUAUCGCAUGGUACGAAUGCCAAAGAUUUAUCGCUGAAAGAUGGCCUCGCGUCUGAUUAGCUAGUUGGUGAGGUAACGGCCCACCAAGGCGACGAUCAGUAGCCGGACUGAGAGGUUGAACGGCCACAUUGGGACUGAGAUACGGCCCAGACUCCUACGGGAGGCAGCAGUGGGGAAUAUUGGGCAAUGGGCGCAAGCCUGACCCAGCAACGCCGCGUGAAGGAAGAAGGCUUUCGGGUUGUAAACUUCUUUUAAGAGGGAAGAGCAGAAGACGGUACCUCUAGAAUAAGCCACGGCUAACUACGCGCCAGCAGCCGCGGUAAUACGUAGGUGGCAAGCGUUGUCCGGAUUUACUGGGUGUAAAGGGCGUGCAGCCGGGAGAGCAAGUCAGGUGUGAAAUCCAUGGGCUUAACCCAUGAAUUGCAUUUGAAACUGUUUUUCUUGAGUACUGGAGGGGCAAUCGGAAUUCCUAGUGUAGCGGUGAAAUGCGUAGAUAUUAGGAGGAACACCAGUGGCGAAGGCGGAUUGCUGGACAGCAACUGACGGUGAGGCGCGAAAGUGUGGGGAGCAAACAGGAUUAGAUACCCUGGUAGUCCACACUGUAAACGAUGAAUACUAGGGUGUGCGGGGACUGACCCCCUGCGUGCCGCAGUUAACACAAUAAGUAUUCCACCUGGGGAGUACGAUCGCAAGGUUGAAACUCAAAGGAAUUGACGGGGGCCCGCACAAGCGGUGGAUUAUGUGGUUUAAUUCGAAGCAACGCGAAGAACCUUACCAGGGUUUGACAUCCUGCUAACGAAGUAGAGAUACAUUAGGUGCCCUUCGGGGAAAGCAGAGACAGGUGGUGCAUGGUUGUCGUCAGCUCGUGUCGUGAGAUGUUGGGUUAAGUCCCGCAACGAGCGCAACCCCUAUUGUUAGUUGCUACGCAAGAGCACUCUAGCGAGACUGCCGUUGACAAAACGGAGGAAGGUGGGGACGACGUCAAAUCAUCAUGCCCCUUAUAUCCUGGGCUACACACGUAAUACAAUGGCGGUCAACAGAGGGAGGCAAAGCCGCGAGGCAGAGCGAACCCCUAAAAGCCGUCCCAGUUCGGAUAGCAGGCUGCAACCCGCCUGCGUGAAGUCGGAAUCGCUAGUAAUCGCGGAUCAGCAUGCCGCGGGGAAUACAAACCCGGGCCUUGUACA
This 1279-nucleotide ribosomal RNA is filed under the name uncultured bacterium. RNAcentral describes it as "bacterial SSU rRNA". It matches the Rfam family "Bacterial small subunit ribosomal RNA", at positions 90 to 1387 of the family's 1533-position model. The record is from RNAcentral.